This 403-nucleotide ribosomal RNA is filed under the name uncultured bacterium. Its description in RNAcentral is "bacterial SSU rRNA". It matches the Rfam family "Bacterial small subunit ribosomal RNA", at positions 32 to 414 of the family's 1533-position model. The record is from RNAcentral.
AAUCAACGCUGGCGGCGUGCCUCAGACAUGCAAGUCGAACGCGAAAGUCCCCUUCGGGGGGCAAGUAGAGUGGCGCACGGGUGAGUAACACGUAGGUAAUCUACCUUUGGAUGGGGAAUAACAACCGGAAACGGUUGCUAAUACCGCAUAAUGCAGCGGCACCUAAUGGUGACAGUUGUUAAAGCGGGGGGAUCGAAAGACCUCGCGUCUGAAGAGGAGCCUGCGGCGGAUUAGCUAGUUGGAAGGUAACGGCUUACCAAGGCAACGAUCCGUAGCCGGCCUGAGAGGGCGGUCGGCCACACUGACACUGACAUACGGGUCAGACUCCUACGGGAGGCAGCAGUGGGGAAUCUUGCGCAAUGGGCGAAAGCCUGACGCAGCGACGCCGCGUGAGGGAUGACGG